GACAGUAUGCGACCAAUUCAAUAAAACACAAGCUGGUGGGCUGAGAAAGGGUCAAUCUGAAUUGUACUUAAAGAGGAAGUGCCCAGGCAUGAGGGUCGUGCAAUUAAUGACAUUUCAGUAAAUCAUUCACGGUUACUCCCAAUGUAUAUAUGAAUCUGAUCCUGUCUUUGGACUAUAUAGAGAGGAAAGGGGCCAUGCUAGACAGGUUAGUGCAUCUCUUCAAUUUACAGAGAACUUGGAGGUGAACGGAACCAUUGUGCGGCUGAAGAGCUCGCUGUGUCAGCCGGGAGAAGGCCCCGUUCGGCUCCGAGCCCAGCCCCGAGGGCCUCCCAGCACCAGGAUGGUUUCCUUCCUCCUCUGCCUUCUCCCUGCUCUCCUAGCUACGAGUGCACAAGCUACAGGCCAACGACUCCCUCCUCAUCCGCCGGUGCUCCAGAGAGGCGAAGAAGCUCUGGAUGACCAGG
This is a long non-coding RNA of Dermochelys coriacea (leatherback sea turtle), 464 nucleotides long. RefSeq lists it as uncharacterized. Lineage: Eukaryota; Metazoa; Chordata; Testudines; Dermochelyidae. The record is from RefSeq and is a predicted model, not a curated record. The transcript has 3 exons.